This 232-nucleotide long non-coding RNA is filed under the name Gossypium barbadense (sea-island cotton). RNAcentral's name for it is "long non-coding RNA (GBAR_LNC000971)". The record is from RNAcentral. Lineage: Eukaryota; Viridiplantae; Streptophyta; Magnoliopsida; Malvales; Malvaceae.
UCCCCACCGCGGACGGACAGGGCCACUCUCUCCUAUCAUAAAUAGCCCCUCUCUGAUUUGAUAGGAAAGGCUAGGUUUUGCCCUUUUUCAAAAAGUAAAUGAGGAAAUCGAGAAGUUUCUUCUCUUUUUUUAUUUUUUAUUUUAGUUGGUUAUUGGGAUGUUUUAGCCCUGGAUCCGUUUCCAAGGCUUCGUAAAGGUUCAAAGAACCUUUUUUUUUUCGAAUUUUCAGUCA